This 236-nucleotide ribosomal RNA is filed under the name uncultured bacterium. RNAcentral's name for it is "partial 16S ribosomal RNA". It matches the Rfam family "Bacterial small subunit ribosomal RNA", at positions 96 to 334 of the family's 1533-position model. The record is from RNAcentral.
CGGCGAACGGGUGAGUAACACGUGAGUAAUCUGCCCCUAGCUCUGGGAUAGCUCCGGGAAACCGGGAUUAAUACCGGAUAUGACCACUACAGACAUCUGUUCUGGUGGAAAGAAUUUCGGCUAGGGAUGAGCUCGCGGCCUAUCAGCUUGUUGGUGGGGUAAAGGCCUACCAAGGCGACGACGGGUAGCCGGCCUGAGAGGGCGACCGGCCACACUGGGACUGAGACACGGCCCAG